Prunus avium (sweet cherry) is the source of this 276-nucleotide non-coding RNA. The record is from RefSeq and is a predicted model, not a curated record. Lineage: Eukaryota; Viridiplantae; Streptophyta; Magnoliopsida; Rosales; Rosaceae.
UCCACAAUCUGAGGUCCGGUCCACCAUCAUAAUCGUACUUGUUCCAAACUUCCAAGUUCCCCAUUUCCACUCUCUCUCUCUCUCUCUCUCUUUCUUUUCUGCAACUCAGGAGCUGAUCUUUCUCUUCGAAUCAGAAGGAAAUUGAAGAGCUUUUUGAUUCAUUUCUAUGUGAGUAUCUCUGGGUUUAUUAAUCUUUGCGGGUUUUCCGAUUUUGCUUUUUCACAUGAAUGUUAGGCAUGGAGAAAUUGAAAUGUCGACACGAACAUUGUGUAUCAA